GACGAAACGCUGGCGGCGUGCCUAAAUACAUGCAAGUAGAACGCUGAAGAGAGGAGCUUGCUCUUCUUGGAUGAGUUGCGAAACGGGUGAGUAAACGCGUAGGUAACCUGCCUUGUAGCGGGGGGAUAAACUAUUGGAAAACGAUAGCUAAAUACCGCAUAAACAAUGGAUGACACAUGUCAUUUAUUUGAAAGGGGCAAUUGCUCCACUACAAGAUGGACCUGCGUUGUAUUAGCUAGUAGGUGAGGUAAUGGCUCACCUAGGCGACGAUACAUAGCCGACCUGAGAGGGUGAUCGGCCACACUGGGACUGAGACACGGCCCAGACUCCUACGGGAGGCAGCAGUAGGGAAUCUUCGGCAAAUGGGGCAAACCCUGACCGAAGCAACGCCGCGUGAGUGAAGAAGGGUUUUCGGAUCGUAAAAGCUCUGUUGUAAGUC
RNAcentral lists this ribosomal RNA (439 nucleotides) under uncultured bacterium. Its description in RNAcentral is "bacterial SSU rRNA". It matches the Rfam family "Bacterial small subunit ribosomal RNA", at positions 32 to 444 of the family's 1533-position model. The record is from RNAcentral.